This 339-nucleotide unclassified non-coding RNA is filed under the name soil metagenome. RNAcentral's name for it is "partial contains 5.8S ribosomal RNA, internal transcribed spacer 2, and large subunit ribosomal RNA". The stretch from base 1 to 120 matches the Rfam family "5.8S ribosomal RNA", at positions 35 to 154 of the family's 154-position model. The record is from RNAcentral.
GAUGAAGAACGUAGCGAAAUGCGAUAAGUAGUGUGAAUUGCAGAAUUCAGUGAAUCAUCGAAUCUUUGAACGCACAUUGCGCCCUUUGGUAUUCCUUAGGGCAUGCCUGUUCGAGCGUCAUUUAAACCUUCAAGCUCAGCUUGGUGUUGGGUGACUGUCCGCCGCCUCCGGGCGCGUGGACUCGCCUCAAAAUUAUUGGCGGCCGGUACAUUGGCUUCGAGCGCUGCAGAAACGCGAACUCGGGCCCGUCGUAUUGGCUCCCAGAAGCUAUCUUCACAAUUUUGACCUCGGAUCAGGUAGGGAUACCCGCUGAACUUAAGCAUAUCAAUAAGCGGAGGA